This 329-nucleotide unclassified non-coding RNA is filed under the name soil metagenome. Its description in RNAcentral is "partial contains 5.8S ribosomal RNA, internal transcribed spacer 2, and large subunit ribosomal RNA". The stretch from base 1 to 120 matches the Rfam family "5.8S ribosomal RNA", at positions 35 to 154 of the family's 154-position model. The record is from RNAcentral.
GAUGAAGAACGUAGCGAAAUGCGAUAAGUAAUGUGAAUUGCAGAAUUCAGUGAAUCAUCGAAUCUUUGAACGCACAUUGCGCCCCCUGGUAUUCCGGGGGGCAUGCCUGUCCGAGCGUCAUUACAACCCUCAAGCUCAGCUUGGUAUUGGGCCCCGCCGCUCCGGCGGGCCCUAAAGUCAGUGGCGGUGCCGUCCGGCUCCGAGCGUAGUAAUUCUUCUCGCUCUGCAGGUCCGGUCGUGUGCUCGCCAGCAACCCCCAAUUUUUUUCAGGUUGACCUCGGAUCAGGUAGGGAUACCCGCUGAACUUAAGCAUAUCAAUAAGCGGAGGA